GACGAACGCUGGCGGCGUGCCUAAUACAUGCCAGUCGAGCGCGGAAGGGUGGUACUUGUACCAACUGGAUGAGCAGCGAACGGGUGAGUAACGCGUGGGGAAUCUGCCUUUGAGCGGGGGACAACAUUUGGAAACGAAUGCUAAUACAGCAUAAAAACUUUAAACACAAGGUUUAAGUUUGAAAGAUGCAAUUGCAUCACUCAAAGAUGAUUCCGCGUGUUAUUGGCUAGUUGGUGAGGUAAAGGCUCGCCAAGGCGAGGAUACAUAGCCGACCUGAGAGGGGGAUCGGCGACAUUGGGACUGGGACACGGCCCAAAAGCCUACGGGAGGCAGCAGUAUGGAACCUUCGGCGAUGGACGAAAGUAUGACCGGGCAACGCCGCGUGAGUGAAGAAGGUUAUCGGGUCGUAAAACUCUGUUGGUAGGGAAGGACGUUGGUUAGAGUGGAAAGCGCAACAAGUGACGGUACCUACACAGGAAGCGACGGCUAACUACGUG
This 497-nucleotide ribosomal RNA is filed under the name uncultured bacterium. Its description in RNAcentral is "partial 16S ribosomal RNA". It matches the Rfam family "Bacterial small subunit ribosomal RNA", at positions 28 to 507 of the family's 1533-position model. The record is from RNAcentral.